Molecule: ribosomal RNA, 496 nt
Filed under: uncultured bacterium
Lineage: Bacteria
Description: partial 16S ribosomal RNA
Rfam family: Bacterial small subunit ribosomal RNA
Source: RNAcentral
GAUGAACGCUGGCGGCGUGCCUAAUACAUGCAAGUCGAGCGAACAGACGAGGAGCUUGCUCCUCUGACGUUAGCGGCGGACGGGUGAGUAACACGUGGAUAACCUACCUAUAAGACUGGGAUAACUUCGGGAAACCGGAGCUAAUACCGGAUAAUAUAUUGAACCGCAUGGUUCAAUAGUGAAAGACGGUUUUGCUGUCACUUAUAGAUGGAUCCGCGCCGCAUUAGCUAGUUGGUAAGGUAACGGCUUACCAAGGCGACGAUGCGUAGCCGACCUGAGAGGGUGAUCGGCCACACUGGACUGAGACACGGUCCAGACUCCUACGGGAGGCAGCAGUAGGGAAUCUUCCGCAAUGGGCGAAAGCCUGACGGAGCAACGCCGCGUGAGUGAUGAAGGUCUUCGGAUCGUAAAACUCUGUUAUUAGGGAAGAACAAAUGUGUAAGUAACUAUGCACGUCUUGACGGUACCUAAUCAGAAAGCCACGGCUAACUACGUG